This 83-nucleotide transfer RNA is filed under the name Clostridiales bacterium. RNAcentral's name for it is "tRNA-Leu". It matches the Rfam family "tRNA". From Rfam's summary of the family: Transfer RNA (tRNA) molecules are approximately 80 nucleotides in length. Their secondary structure includes four short double-helical elements and three loops (D, anti-codon, and T loops). RNAcentral also lists the same sequence under 1 other name. The record is from RNAcentral. Lineage: Bacteria; Bacillati; Bacillota; Clostridia; Eubacteriales.
GCGGGUAUGGCGGAAUCGGAAGACGCGCCGGAUUUAGGAUCCGGUGGGCAACCGUACAGGUUCGACCCCUGUUACCCGCACCA